CACCUAACUUUAUUUGUUAAUGUGUUGAAGGUGACAUUAGUAAAAUUUUAUUACGAUUGUCCCCGAGUUGUAACACAUACCGGAUGUUGCUAUUUUUAGAACCAGAAGAUAUUCCCCGCUAUUCAUAGGUCAAUAAUGGAAUUUCUACAUCGUAGCAGUUGGAAACUCGGGUGAUGAUUUUAUCAUGAAUAUACGUUUAAAAUAAGUAAACACUCAAAGUGGACACUGACAGUUGAUUACGAUACACCUAAAAAUUUGAGUCAUUACAGUAAAACAUGGAUUAUAAGUGAAUUAUACGCGUAAGAGAAGAUUUUCUGUCGAAAAAACGAAUGUCAACAAUCGGCAUGGAACUGGGAUAUUCGUAUCAAAGGGCUAUGUAUGUAGGAAAAUGACUGAAUAUUGCUAAGUCAACAAAUUGGGAUUAUGAAGAAUUCCAGCCUGCAUUAAAUAUGUUAGAUCAUUGAGACAGAUUUGACAUCCAUGUCAUCCACAAUGCAGUCACAUCUGAUAGAGAUGAUCACUAAACAUUCUAGAUGGGUAAAGAACCUGAAGGGGCAUAACAACCAAAUCAGCAUUGACUCAGCAUUGAGUAUUUAUCAUCUGUGCACACACUACAAUAGUCUGGAGUUCCUUCCCCUAACACUAUCGUUAUCGUACUGUAUGAAAUAUCAGUAAGCAGGGAACCAGACUAACACUACAAGUACAAACGCAUGGGAACAGACCAAACUUCAAAUGUUGUGAAGACUUAUUGUGAAAAAUUCUAAAUGUAAGAAUACCAUUGACAAAAUAAAACAAAUAGACAUCGAUUACCUACAGAGACUGUUUACAUGUUAUAAUAUUAAAAAGACAAAUUAGUUGAGAACUUUCACUCUGACAUUUUUGGAGGGGCAUUACCGCCUACAUGUACAUAGUGUUCUUGUUUCUUUACAUAUUUUAAUUUGAAAGUACAUUCAUUGUUUUUAAAUCUGAAUUCUGAGUAAGUAUCAUAUGUAAAAUUCAUUUAUUUGAAUGAUUACAUUUUAUGAAUAAGUCCAAUAAAGCUUUAUCAAUUUUUACAAGAAAAGGGUUGAUUUUUAAGCGUUCCAUUAGCUAUAAAAAUGUAUGGUUACAUGACAUUAUGUAUAUUUUCUUCAAAAUUGAACGGUAAACUAUCAUAAAUUGUCUUUUAAAUUGUUCAUUAGACAUCAUAGAAAAUAUUUAAAAUGAUUUCAGCAGGUUGUCUUAUUAUUAAUUAUUUUUUAUGAAUUUAUAAAACUGCUUUAUAUUUUCAAACAUCGAAAUACUGCUCUGUUCAGAAGACUCACAAGAUCAAUCCAAAUGAUUUGUUUGCAUGUGUAUCAAUAAUGCUGUUCGGUUGAACUUAUGUUUUCUGUUAACUGAAGUUUAUUUCACCAGAAACUGUUGUGUUUAUUUCAUAAGCUCUGAUAAUGUGAAACAAAAAUCAAAUAUAGACAAAAUAUUUACUUUUCGCUCUUUGUAGCCCUUGGAGUUUGGGUUUGGGUGUAAUGAAACUUAAAUAACUUUAAUUCACGGUAAAAUAUCUUCAAAAUUUGGAUAAAAGUCCCAUAGUGUACCUUGAUAAUAUUAUGUUGUCGGUGAAAGUUUUUAUUAAAGUGUGUAUAACUUAAAUACCUUAAUUCAGUUUAAAUAAUUAUGGCCUUUAAUAAUUUUUGUUUUCAAAUAGAUUUCCUGUUAUAUUGAGCUUUGUCAAUUUUGUUGUUGUUUUGUAUUAUGUACAAUUACUACUUCUAUUUCCUAACUUAAAUUUUUUGUCUCAUUUGUCAAAUUGAAUUGGUACAUAUUUCAUAUAAAGUGAAAAAAACACACACUAUUUUUAAAGAUGCACUCUUACUCCCAAACAAGACUUAUCACAAUUAAUAUUAUUGUUUUGAUUUUUCAAAAUGGGUUGAUAGAUGUCAACAACAAUGUUUCUAAUGAAGGAUUUUGAGUUCAAUUUGCUAAUAAGAAUGAACAUAAAACAUGGUGUUUCUGCCUUGUGAUACUAUAGAAGACCACAGUAAAUCUUUUAGCAAUCACCAAUCAUUUACUAUUUGUCAUGCUUUCUGCUAUUAUAAACAGAGUCACAAGCUUGUUAUAAAUCAGUAAACAAUAUUUCAGUA
This is a long non-coding RNA of Mya arenaria, 2120 nucleotides long. RefSeq lists it as uncharacterized. The record is from RefSeq and is a predicted model, not a curated record. Lineage: Eukaryota; Metazoa; Mollusca; Bivalvia; Myida; Myidae. The transcript is spliced from 3 exons.